RNAcentral lists this ribosomal RNA (897 nucleotides) under uncultured bacterium. Its description in RNAcentral is "bacterial SSU rRNA". It matches the Rfam family "Bacterial small subunit ribosomal RNA", at positions 8 to 906 of the family's 1533-position model. The record is from RNAcentral.
AGAGUUUGAUCCUGGCUCAGGAUGAACGCUGGCGGCGUGCCUAACACAUGCAAGUCGAACGAAGCACCUUUUGAGAUUCUUCGGAUGAUCGAUCGGUGACUGAGUGGCGGACGGGUGAGUAACGCGUGGGUAACCUGCCUCACACAGGGGGAUAGCAGUUGGAAACGGCUGAUAAUACCGCAUAAGCGCACGGUACCGCAUGGUACAGUGUGAAAAACUCCGGUGGUGUGAGAUGGACCCGCGUCUGAUUAGCUUGUUGGCGGGGUAACGGCCCACCAAGGCAACGAUCAGUAGCCGACCUGAGAGGGUGACCGGCCACAUUGGGACUGAGACACGGCCCAGACUCCUACGGGAGGCAGUAGUGGGGAAUAUUGCACAAUGGAGGAAACUCUGAUGCAGCGACGCCGCGUGAGUGAAGAAGUAAUUCGUUAUGUAAAGCUCUAUCAGCAGGGAAGAUAGUGACGGUACCUGACUAAGAAGCUCCGGCUAAAUACGUGCCAGCAGCCGCGGUAAUACGUAUGGAGCAAGCGUUAUCCGGAUUUACUGGGUGUAAAGGGAGUGUAGGUGGCAUCACAAGUCAGAAGUGAAAGCCCGGGGCUCAACCCCGGGACUGCUUUUGAAACUGUGGAGCUGGAGUGCAGGAGAGGCAAGUGGAAUUCCUAGUGUAGCGGUGAAAUGCGUAGAUAUUAGGAGGAACACCAGUGGCGAAGGCGGCUUGCUGGACUGUAACUGACACUGAGGCUCGAAAGCGUGGGGAGCAAACAGGAUUAGAUACCCCGGUAGUCCACGCCGUAAACGAUGAAUACUAGGUGUCGGGGCUCAUAAGAGCUUCGGUGCCGCAGCAAACGCAAUAAGUAUUCCACCUGGGGAGUACGUUCGCAAGAAUGAAACUCAAAG